Molecule: ribosomal RNA, 345 nt
Filed under: uncultured bacterium
Lineage: Bacteria
Description: partial 16S ribosomal RNA
Rfam family: Bacterial small subunit ribosomal RNA
Source: RNAcentral
CCUACGGGUGGCAGCAGUGGGGAAUAUUGCACAAUGGGGGAAACCCUGAUGCAGCGACGCCGCGUGAGUGAUGAAGUAUUUCGGUAUGUAAAGCUCUAUCAGCAGGGAAGAAGAUGACGGUACCUGACUAAGAAGCCCCGGCUAACUACGUGCCAGCAGCCGCGGUAAUACGUAGGGGGCAAGCGUUAUCCGGAUUUACUGGGUGUAAAGGGAGCGUAGACGGCGCUGCAAGCCAGAUGUGAAAGCCCGGGGCUCCACCCCGGGACUGCAUUUGUAACUGUGUGGCUGGAGUGUCGGAGAGGCAGGCGUAAUUCCUCGUGUAGCGGUGAUAUGCGUCGAUAUUAG